This is a long non-coding RNA of Oncorhynchus keta (chum salmon), 1315 nucleotides long. RefSeq lists it as uncharacterized. The record is from RefSeq and is a predicted model, not a curated record. NCBI's taxonomy places the organism in Eukaryota, Metazoa, Chordata, Actinopteri, Salmoniformes, Salmonidae. The transcript has 4 exons.
CAAUGCAACAGGUGAUGUGUGUUGAAUGUCUUGGGUUCAAACAGACAUGCAAGAAGAACAAUGCAACAGGUGAUGUGUGUUGAAUGUCUUGGGUUCAAACAGACAUGCAAGAAGAACAAUGCAACAGGUGAUGUGUGUUGAAUGUCUUGGGUUCAAACAGACAUGCAAGAAGAACAAUGCAACAGGUGAUGUGUGUUGAAUGUCUUGGGUUCAAACAGACAUGCAAGAAGAACAAUGCAACAGGUGAUGUGUGUUGAAUGUCUUGGGUUCAAACAGACAUGCAAGAAGAACAAUGCAACAGGUGAUGUGUGUUGAAUGUCUUGGGUUCAAACAGACAUGCAAGAAGAACAAUGCAACAGGUGAUGUGUGUUGAAUGUCUUGGGUUCAAACAGACAUGCAAGAAGAACAAUGCAACAGGUGAUGUGUGUUGAAUGUCUUGGGUUCAAACAGACAUGCAAGAAGAACAAUGCAACAGGUGAUGUGUGUUGAAUGUCUUGGGUUCAAACAGACAUGCAAGAAGAACAAUGCAACAGGUGAUGUGUGUUGAAUGUCUUGGGUUCAAACAGACAUGCAAGAAGAACAAUGCAACAGGUGAUGUGUGUUGAAUGUCUUGGGUUCAAACUUCAGUGGUGCUAAAUUGCAAAGGCUCUGUGACAGUGUUUUACGGUUUCAAAAACGUGGUUGGAUGGGUUUUUGCGGUUGAGGGGUUGCUGGCGCCCCCAUACUCGGCACAGUAGAGAGGCUAGAACAAUGGGCUGUGUGUGGAUGUUCUCUCAUUCAUGUUUGAGGUGUGUGUGUGUGUUAUAUCCACACCUUCACUUCCCUUUGAUGAGUUUGGUCUUCCUUCACGCCACCACACUGCUGUCCCAACGAGGCACCGAUAGGGGUGUGUUGUCACAAGGUGUGUGUGUGUGUAAAUGGAUACCUGUUGGUUUGGUCUAGGAGUGUGAAACAGGUCUACAUCUGCAUGCGGCUCAGUGGAUCUGAAAACAAACAGAUGUCACUUCUCCAUGGAGCUGCUAGAGCCUUCGUCUCCAUAACAGCAACAGGCGUGAAAGGUGAUUGGCUGCACAGCUUCAGUUUGGAUAGAACAUUCUCUAACUAAGGAACUUCCUUUUCAGGAAGUUGGCUGGUUUCCUUCUGUUGCACUGAGAAUUCACGUUGGCGGCCAUUUUGUUUCCAACAGAAACGAGUUGAGAAAGAUGGCAAAUCAUUUAUGGAUGGAGGAAGUGCAAGAAAACGGAGUAAUGGCGUCUCCUUUUAAAGUUCUCCCCUUUUGUAUGCUGGCGACACAUUGUAAUGGAAUACGGAUUCA